GAUGAAUGUGCGUUUAAUCACUUCAAACGGCUAACAAGUCUCAGUAUGAUGGCAGAAGAUUAACCCUUGCCCUUUCCGGCGAGGGUUUUCUUUU
RNAcentral lists this small RNA (94 nucleotides) under Klebsiella indica. RNAcentral's name for it is "Enterobacteria rnk leader". It matches the Rfam family "Enterobacteria rnk leader", at positions 15 to 106 of the family's 109-position model. Lineage: Bacteria; Pseudomonadati; Pseudomonadota; Gammaproteobacteria; Enterobacterales; Enterobacteriaceae. The record is from RNAcentral.